CGGGCUGUAGUAUAAUGGUAGUAUACCAUCUUGGGGUGAUGGCGGCCCCGGUUCAAUUCCGGGCAGCCCGACCA
Molecule: transfer RNA, 74 nt
Filed under: Candidatus Nealsonbacteria bacterium CG08_land_8_20_14_0_20_36_22
Lineage: Bacteria; Candidatus Nealsoniibacteriota
Also listed under: 1 other name
Description: tRNA-Pro
Rfam family: tRNA
About the family: Transfer RNA (tRNA) molecules are approximately 80 nucleotides in length. Their secondary structure includes four short double-helical elements and three loops (D, anti-codon, and T loops). Further hydrogen bonds mediate the characteristic L-shaped molecular structure. tRNAs have two regions of fundamental functional importance: the anti-codon, which is responsible for specific mRNA codon recognition, and the 3' end, to which the tRNAs corresponding amino acid is attached (by aminoacyl-tRNA synthetases). tRNAs cope with the degeneracy of the genetic code in two manners: having more than one tRNA (with a specific anti-codon) for a particular amino acid; and 'wobble' base-pairing, i.e. permitting non-standard base-pairing at the 3rd anti-codon position.
Source: RNAcentral